Molecule: small nuclear RNA, 107 nt
Organism: Diceros bicornis minor
Lineage: Eukaryota; Metazoa; Chordata; Mammalia; Perissodactyla; Rhinocerotidae
Source: RefSeq, a predicted model, not a curated record
GUGUUCAAUUCAACAGCGUAUAUACUACAAUUGGAAUGAUUCAGAAAAGAUUAACAUGGCCUCUGCACAAGGAUGACACACCAAUUCACGAAGCAUUUCAUAAUUUU